Long non-coding RNA from Symphalangus syndactylus (siamang), 925 nucleotides. RefSeq lists it as uncharacterized. Lineage: Eukaryota; Metazoa; Chordata; Mammalia; Primates; Hylobatidae. The record is from RefSeq and is a predicted model, not a curated record.
UCUUCGCUGGGCAGCUCUGCCUCAGGCUAGGCUGGGAUACAGGCUCUAGGCUGGGCUCUGGCUGUUCCAUGUGUCGCUUGGCGGGGCGAGGCUGAAGGGCCGGCAGCCAUUCAGGGGGACGAUCUUCUCAUAGCAGAAGCACAAGAAGACAGCCCCACUGUGGAAGUGCACCUCAAGCCUUUGGUCUUGUUAUAGCCACUGCCAUCCCAUGGACCAAAGCAAAUUACAUGGCUGAGCCCAGAGUCAAGAGACAGGGAGUGCACUCUGCCCACCUGGAGGCCGUGGCCAGGGUGAGGGGCCAGUGAUCAAUGCCACAUGCCAUUUGCGUCAUCCAGUCUGGUCCCCACCCCUAUUUCUCGGAUGGGUACCCCCGGUGGAUCAGCGUGGGACCAGGCAGGGUGCCCUGACUUCCCAUUCCCUUUUCACAGCCCCGAGCAGGAUCUCAUACCACCUGGCUGAUCCUCCUGGGGUGGGACCAAUUCUGGAAACUGCAGUUGCAGGUGGAAGAACCUGGACUUCGGAAUCACAGAGACCUGGGUUCUCUGCUCCCCAAGGCCAGCAGUGAGUCCUCGAGCAAGUCCCACACUACAAAGGAGGAAACUGAGGCUCAGAGGGGUUUAGCGACACAUAGUGCUGGGAUACCAUGCCUGGGCGAAAUUAAAUUUUGGCAGGAGCACCUCCUUUACGCCUCAGUCUGUGCCUGAAGACUCACCAAGGCCAGAGCCGCACGACUCCAGGGGGCCAUGCGUGUGCCCUGGCCGACCAUCCUCCCCUGACCAAGAUGCAUACUGAAAAGGUCCGGAGGCCGGCUCGGGGCCUUCACACAUGCUGCUCUCUCAACCUGGAACACACUUCGCUUUCUCAAACGCCACCUCCCAUUUAUUUUUCAGCAUACAGUUACAAAAUAAACUCCUGGGAAACCUGC